GAUACUUGGUGUGAAUUGCAGAAUUCAGUGAAUCAUCGAAUCUUUGAACGCACCUUGCGCCCUUUUGCUAUUCCGAAUGUCAUGCCUGUUUGAGUGUCAUGUUAAUCUCAAACCCCUUGUCUUUGUUGACUCGGUUUGGUUUGGACUUGGAGGUGUUGCUGGCACAUGGGUUCUUGCCUUGUCGGCUCCUCUUAAAUGUAUUAGCUGGGCUUUGGUUCGCAUUAACGGUGUAAUAGUAAAGUGUUCGCCGGGUGCUUGCCUAACGAGUCUGCUUCUAAUUGUCUUCGGACAAAGGUGGACUCUGGGCCUUUUCUCUUGACGCUUUGAUCCUCAUAUCAGACAGUAGGAUUACCCGCUUGAACUUAAGCAUAUCAAUAAGCGGAGGAA
This 387-nucleotide ribosomal RNA is filed under the name Fulvifomes sp. BAB-3690. RNAcentral's name for it is "eukaryotic LSU rRNA". The stretch from base 1 to 99 matches the Rfam family "5.8S ribosomal RNA", at positions 57 to 154 of the family's 154-position model. Lineage: Eukaryota; Fungi; Basidiomycota; Agaricomycetes; Hymenochaetales; Hymenochaetaceae. The record is from RNAcentral.